UCCUUGGAAUUCCUCUGUGGUCCAGUGGCUAGGACUCUGCACUUUCACUGCUGAGGGCCCAGGUUCAAUUCCUGGUCAGGGAA
This is a non-coding RNA of Cervus elaphus (red deer), 83 nucleotides long. The record is from the annotation of a RefSeq genome assembly. Lineage: Eukaryota; Metazoa; Chordata; Mammalia; Artiodactyla; Cervidae.